RNAcentral lists this small RNA (133 nucleotides) under Ferroacidibacillus organovorans. Its description in RNAcentral is "Acidibacillus ferrooxidans c-di-AMP sequence". It matches the Rfam family "c-di-AMP riboswitch aptamer (ydaO/yuaA leader)". Rfam says of the family: This family represents a conserved RNA structure found upstream of the ydaO and yuaA genes in Bacillus subtilis and related genes in other bacteria. The ydaO/yuaA element is thought to act as a genetic "off" switch for the ydaO and yuaA genes in its native state. The record is from RNAcentral. Lineage: Bacteria; Bacillati; Bacillota; Bacilli; Caryophanales; Alicyclobacillaceae.
AAAAUAGCAUAGCCGAAUCACUCAAAGAGAGUGUACGGAGGACCCAUGUUGUUGGGGUGAACUUUGCAGCGAUGCAGAGCGGGGCGACCUUCUCCCGAACCCGUCAGCUAACUCCGGAGGCGUGGGAGGAAAU